AGGGCUGGAGAGAUGGCUCAGAGGUAU
This 27-nucleotide non-coding RNA is filed under the name Cricetulus griseus (Chinese hamster). Lineage: Eukaryota; Metazoa; Chordata; Mammalia; Rodentia; Cricetidae. The record is from RNAcentral.